RNAcentral lists this ribosomal RNA (479 nucleotides) under uncultured bacterium. RNAcentral's name for it is "partial 16S ribosomal RNA". It matches the Rfam family "Bacterial small subunit ribosomal RNA", at positions 28 to 507 of the family's 1533-position model. The record is from RNAcentral.
GAUGAACGCUGGCGGCGUGCUUAACACAUGCAAGUCGAACGAAGCACUUAAGAUUGUUUCUUCGGAUGACGUCUUUUGUGACUUAGUGGCGGACGGGUGAGUAACGCGUGGGUAACCUGCCUCACACAGGGGGAUAACAGUUAGAAAUGACUGCUAAUACCGCAUAACCCGAUAGGAUCGCAUGAUCCAGACGGAAACGAUUGCUCGGUGUGAGAUGGACUCGCGUCUGAUUAGCUAGUUGGUGAGGUAACGGCACAGCAAGGCGAGGAGCAGUAGCCGGGAUGAGAGGGGGACCGGUCACGUUGGGAAUGAGACACGGACCCAACUCCUACGGGAGGGAGCAGAGGGGAAUAUUACACGAUGGAGCAAGCCCUGAUGCAGCGACGCCGCGUGAGUGAAGAAGUGUUUCGGUAUGUACAGCUGUAUGAGAAGGGAAGAGAAUGACGGUACCUGACUAAGAAGCACCGGCUAACUACGUG